GUUUCACAAAGCUUUAUGCACCCAAAGUAACUGAUGGUUUACUUUCGAUUUAUUUACAGAGUUGUAAAGAUUUUUUGUGAGGGGAAGAAGAAGAAGGAAGAACUGGCCACAAUAUAUAGCUUCGCCUGUGAGAAUUGAACCUUAACUCUUGUCACAGUUGGCCGAUUAAGCAUCACUAUUCCACAUCUGCAUGGAUAACUUUCAGGUUAUACACAGAUAGUGGCUGUAGCUUCCGCACGUGCCGCUCGGUGUCCCAAAGCUUGCAAACUUGAUGCUGCUGAUGACCUGUCCAUCUUUUGGGAAUUCCAGGUGAAGUUCAGGUCCAUAUCUUUGCAUUGUCUGUUGAGAAGAAUUCCAACUAUCAAUUUGGGCUGGAUGUUCCUCUGAUACUUGUGCGUACACACUUCUUGUCUGCCUUAUCACAAAGGAUAUCUUGCUUGGGUCACCACCAAAUUUCUCAAAAAGGACUAUACCAUUGCUGCCUGGUUGAAGAAAUGAACGAGGAACAUGGUACCUGUUUAACAAGGUAAGAAUCCAAUUAAUCAAUAGUCUUCAGUUCCUGCAGUUGCUAUAUUGUUGGGCAAUAUCAGAACACACUGCUAAAGUGCUCAGCGUCACAGUUGCUAUAUUGUUGGGCAAUAUCAGAACACACUCCUGGUUUGUGAUGCAAUUCAAUGGUGUAGGAUGAGAUGGAAUGGGUUCCUUUGGGUUCCAGUCGGUUCUGAGAAAACAAAUUUUUGGGCAUGCUAUUUGAUUAAAUGUCGGAGGCAAGAAGUGCACUCGCAUGCUAUUCAAUGAAAUGUCUCACCUAAACAAAUAUCUGACUUAGUGGAGGUUUUUUUUUCAUUCUGUAUCCACGAAGGUUUCCUAAUUCCUAUUGUCAGUGACAAAGGAGUUCAAUUUUUUUCUUCAAACAAUUCGUCAACAAAUGGUACAGGUUUACAUAGAUAGCAUUUCAGUCUUAAUCAUUUAGAAACUCAGAAAGGAUAUCAUUCCUCUUUUGUCUGUUUUUAAUAUAUGGAGUGAUAACUUCAAUCUACACGUGCGUUUCUUUUGAGUCUAGAGAGUUAUAACAAAACUCAAAAUAAGCUUUUAUAAUAGUUUUAUACCAUUAGAUGAUGCCAAUUUCAGCAAUGCCUAUUUCUACAAUACUUCUCUUCUUUUAUUAGUUGUUGGUGAAAUGCUAGGAUUUCAUAUUUUUUUUGAGACGGAGGGAGUAUUUUUUGUCUAUAACUGUAUGUUAAAUCUAACAAAAGUUUGCCAUCUUUGUGUAGUGCUCGAGCCACUGGAUGCAGUCCACUAUCCUCCAACGAGAUUGACAAACUUGGAUCAAAAAGGUUUGGCAGGCUUAUUAGAAAUCACAAUGGGUGAACAAUGCUUGAGACCAAAUAAAUGCUCAAAGCUUAAAUUAUAUUUAGGGUUCACAAAAGUUUGUACAUUGAUAAUGUGAACGUGGUUGAGAUUUUUUAUACAAAUGGUUUUGUAUUUUUUAUUCUUUUCGUACAUGGUUCUCAAUAUUUAAAUUUAAUUAAAUGCACACAACUGAGAUUUGUUUGAUUGGCC
RNAcentral lists this long non-coding RNA (1563 nucleotides) under Sorghum bicolor (sorghum). RNAcentral describes it as "long non-coding RNA (SBIC_LNC012958)". Lineage: Eukaryota; Viridiplantae; Streptophyta; Magnoliopsida; Poales; Poaceae. The record is from RNAcentral.